This 372-nucleotide ribosomal RNA is filed under the name Triticum aestivum (bread wheat). RNAcentral's name for it is "partial small subunit ribosomal RNA". The record is from RNAcentral. Lineage: Eukaryota; Viridiplantae; Streptophyta; Magnoliopsida; Poales; Poaceae.
AUGGAGGAUGGAGUUAACUAUGUGCUUUGUCCUUUGCUGACACGUGAGACCAGGAAUCAUUUAUUCUUUGAAUGCAAUUUUAGUGCGAGAGUAUGGAAUUAUCUUCAAAUUGUUUGGCCACCUGGAGAUGAUAUGUUCAACAUUGUCAUGCAAGCUAAACAAGACUUUGCCAAACCUUCCUUUACUGAGGUUGUCUUUGUGGCUUGCUGGAACAUUUGGAUAAUGAGAAAUGCAAAAGUUUUCAGGCAUGAGAGGCAGAGUUUCAAUAGAUGGAGAUGUGCUUUUAUCCAUGAUAUUACACUCAUGCAGCACAUAGUCAAGCAAAGAUAUAAGGAAGAGCUCUUAAGAUGGAUUUCCUUUUUACCUCCAUGA